UCUCGAUUGGUCUAGUGGUUAGGAUACCUGCUUGUCAUUCAUAAUACAUGCGCAGGUGGCCGGGGUUCGAUUCCCCGAUCGAGAG
Molecule: transfer RNA, 85 nt
Filed under: Xylaria bambusicola
Lineage: Eukaryota; Fungi; Ascomycota; Sordariomycetes; Xylariales; Xylariaceae
Description: tRNA-Asp
Rfam family: tRNA
About the family: Transfer RNA (tRNA) molecules are approximately 80 nucleotides in length. Their secondary structure includes four short double-helical elements and three loops (D, anti-codon, and T loops). Further hydrogen bonds mediate the characteristic L-shaped molecular structure. tRNAs have two regions of fundamental functional importance: the anti-codon, which is responsible for specific mRNA codon recognition, and the 3' end, to which the tRNAs corresponding amino acid is attached (by aminoacyl-tRNA synthetases). tRNAs cope with the degeneracy of the genetic code in two manners: having more than one tRNA (with a specific anti-codon) for a particular amino acid; and 'wobble' base-pairing, i.e. permitting non-standard base-pairing at the 3rd anti-codon position.
Source: RNAcentral